Non-coding RNA from Pelobates cultripes (western spadefoot toad), 241 nucleotides. Lineage: Eukaryota; Metazoa; Chordata; Amphibia; Anura; Pelobatidae. The record is from the annotation of a GenBank genome assembly.
GGAAGGCAUUAAUCAGAGAGGCAGCACAGAGACCUAAGGUCCACAGGAGAGACUGGAGUAUCUGUACAUAGGACAACAAUAAGCCGUACGCUCCAUAGAGUUGGGCUUUAUGGCAGAGUGGCCAGAAGAAAGCCAUUACUUUCAGCAAAAAACAAAAUGGCAUGUUUUGAGCUUGCGAAAAGGCAUGUGGGAGACUUCCAAAAUGUAUGGAGGAAGGUGCUCUGGUCUGAUGAGACUAAAA